This is a long non-coding RNA of Parus major (Great Tit), 353 nucleotides long. RefSeq lists it as uncharacterized. The record is from RefSeq and is a predicted model, not a curated record. NCBI's taxonomy places the organism in Eukaryota, Metazoa, Chordata, Aves, Passeriformes, Paridae. The transcript is spliced from 3 exons.
CUGUGGAGUAUUCUAGAUACUCUUUACUACAUCAGUAAAUGCUGGGGAAAAUGGGAAGCUUGGAUGGGGAGAGCCAAGCAGAAUGUUCAUUGAAAUGUUCAAGACUGGAAUGAAGAUGAUGGUGGAAAAGUCAACAACACCAUAUAGGUGCAAUGUGAAAACAGCAGCAAUUUCAAUCCUUGAGAAAUGUGUGUUCAGGUGAAUUGAUAAACAGUAGCACGCUCCCAUUUCAGCUAGUUUGUUGUCUAGAAUGUAACAGCGACUGGUGAUGUUAAAUGUACUGGUAUCACUUGAAGAAGCCCAUUUAACACAGACCAAAGUGUAAGUGGUUCAUUGAGCUAAAAAAAAAAAAA